UUCAUACUCCCUCCGUCCUAAAAAAUUUAUCUUAGAUUUGUCUAAAUAUAAAUGUAUCUAGUCAUGUUUUAGUAUUUAGGUACAUUCAUUUUUAGACAAACUUAAGACAAUAAUUUUAGGACGGAGGGAGUAUUAA
This 136-nucleotide microRNA precursor is filed under the name Hordeum vulgare. Its description in RNAcentral is "microRNA MIR1122". It matches the Rfam family "MIR1120/MIR1122 microRNA precursor family". Lineage: Eukaryota; Viridiplantae; Streptophyta; Magnoliopsida; Poales; Poaceae. The record is from RNAcentral.